This 319-nucleotide ribosomal RNA is filed under the name uncultured bacterium. Its description in RNAcentral is "bacterial SSU rRNA". It matches the Rfam family "Bacterial small subunit ribosomal RNA", at positions 29 to 327 of the family's 1533-position model. The record is from RNAcentral.
AACGAACGCUGGCGGCGUGCCUAACACAUGCAAGUCGUGCGAGAAAGUCUCCUUCGGGAGGCGAGUAAAGCGGCGCACGGGUGAGUAACACGUGGGUAACCUGCCUUUGAGACUGGGACAACCCAGGGAAACCCGGGCUAAUACCAGAUACGGCCUCGGGAUCUUCGGAUCCUGAGGCGAAAUGAUGGCCUAUGCUUGCAAGCCAUCGCUCGAAGAUGGGCCCGCGGCCCAUUAGCUAGUUGGUGAGGUAACGGCUCACCAAGGCAAUGAUGGGGUAGCUGGUCUGAGAGGAUGAUCAGCCACACUGGCACUGCGACAC